GAAGGUAUAGGUCACGUGGUAGAGCUCAUGCUUAGCAUACAUGAGGUCCUGGAUUCAAUCCCCAGUACCUCCU
RNAcentral lists this transfer RNA (73 nucleotides) under Camelus ferus (Wild Bactrian camel). It matches the Rfam family "tRNA". Rfam says of the family: Transfer RNA (tRNA) molecules are approximately 80 nucleotides in length. Their secondary structure includes four short double-helical elements and three loops (D, anti-codon, and T loops). The record is from Rfam by way of RNAcentral. Lineage: Eukaryota; Metazoa; Chordata; Mammalia; Artiodactyla; Camelidae.